AGCCCCGUUAAAGCAAUCAUUUACAUUGGAACCGGAGAAGUCCACAUGUACUUCCCCUAUGAGAAGGUACGUCGUUGUUUUGAUGACCCUAACUAUAUAGUUGAAGACUCCAAGCAGGUCAGACAAGAAGAAGACGACGCAACUGCGACCAGAGAAGGCAAAUCAUCAAGGACGGAUGGGCAGACUACGAAGGAGAAGUAAUAAGGUCUGAAGACAUACAGCUUGAACAGAACUGUCCUGAGGAGACCGUAGCACCGAGUCAGGUGUGGAGAGAGAAGAUAGUUAUACACGAAGAGCAGGCGCCGCUGGAACCACCGACUACGCCAUCCAGCGAAUCCCAGGACGACUGAGGAAACGGAGAGUCCCGUUCGGAGGACUUAAAAACACUGAACGCCUUGCCAAGAGGUAAACUUGGUAGUUAUCUUUUUCCUUUCAAUUAUUUAAAAUAGUUUGCUUAGUUAAUUAGGUUCACAUCAUCUUGAAAUGUUGAAAAUAGUAAGCCCCAUGUGAGUAUGCUCAUGGCAUAAAACCCAUAAGUACAUUCACUAUGGUGGCGCAAAAAUGAAAUAAAUAUAUUCUUGUCCUAUAAAAAUAAAAUUAUAAAAAUAAAUGAUCCUACUAAGAGAGUAACAUUAAUUGAGGAGGCUCAACAUGAUAAAGGCUAGAUAUUUAUGCUAACACUUAACCAGUUCCACAAAGUUUUGUUGUCUAUUUGAGCUCCACAGAAUUUAAGGAUUAAAGAAGACUAGCAGAUGGAGGACAUCCUAAUCGCUAUCAGGGUGCUACCGACAUUCAAAUACACCUCCACCACCUACUAGCUACACUAGAAGAAAUUGCGUCAAAAUCCAGCUUGGGGAGAGCACCCCAAUUUAUCCAGCUAAGUAUUCUACUCACGUUUAUACUUUACUCUAAUAAUAAAAUGAUGCAUAAUCAUAAGAACCCAAAUAAAGAUUUUGUGCUUAUAUAUAUAUCUUUGCUUAGUUUGCUAAAUAAAUAAAUAAAUAAAGUUUGCUAUGAACUCUCAUGAUAAGCUCUCAUAUGGAAAUGAUGAAUAGUUGCUCUGCCAUGACUAGCUCUCAAAAUUGAAAUCUCUCUCAAGUUUAGGCAUGACUGUUAUUAAUUAAGAUUUACUCUAAACCUGAACUUGUGGGGAGAGUACUAGAUCUAAAGUCUAAGUCGUUAGCGGAUACGAUAUGGGAAGGUUGAGCUGUUGUUUAUCUGUUCCUAGAGAUGCUAGAAAAUUGGAGAAUUUUUAUCAUUGAAAAUCUUUAAAAUGUUGCAUGCUGAGUUCCUAUAUGAUGAGAGUUUAAAUUCCUACCACAGCCAUAUAUACAUGCUUGCUAGACUUUGAGCCACACAUUUACUUUUUACUGCUUAUGAGCAUUGAGUGUGGUCAAGCUGUGUAGACCCUUAGGAGCUUGUCGUGUGGUUAAGUCAAGAUUCACUUGCACGUUCACUCACACAUGCUGCUUCUACUCCGAAAGUACGCAUCCACAUAUAUCCACCCAUUUCCAUCUUUAGAAUCACCUAAAAAUAUUCUACUCCUAAUCCGGGAGAGAAUAGCCAAAAACAUUUCUGUUUUUCCCGUGAAAUAAAUGCUCAAGUUAUCUUGGUUACUACCACUUGCUAUAUUAUUUCAGAAGAUGAGUGCUCUAAAAAAAAGAGAGAGAGAAAAAAGGGGCAAGUUCCCGGAACCUUGAAAGAAAAGAAAAAGUGAGACGAGAGGUAAAAAUGGACAAGAGUCCGACAGUAGAAUUAGGGGUACAAGAUACCCACCUGAGAGGAAAGAAAAAGAAAAUAUAGAGCAUCUCAUUCCCCUCAAAAGUCUCAAGUGCAAGGAAGGUAUGAACCCCCUCAAAAGAGCAAUUAGACUUUCACCAUUGUUAUCACCAUCAUUACCAUACACCAUUCAUUCGCCACACAUGCACAUAUUGAUUUGACUUAUUGACUUGUUUUUCUAGAUCCAUAGAUUGACUAUGCAAUAAAUGUCUUGUAAGUAUGUAUUAGCUAUGUCCCACUUAUGAGCUCCAGAUAUCAAAACAUUAUUAGAGUGAGAGAAGGCAAUGCCACUAUGCCUCAUACCAAAAAUACCACAUACUUUGAGAGAAGGCAUACACCAUUACUGCCUUGGUAAGGAUCCAAAAAUACCACAAAAGAGAGACUAGAGAGAGUCAUACAAGGAAUCUCUAAGUUUUAUUUGAAAAUCUGCAAAAACUCCAGAGCUAUAGUUAAUCAAAGAAUAAGAGACAUGGCGCUUGACUCGACCGUUCUAUCUUUUAACUGCUCAAGACACAAGUGACGGUUACAAGCCCCAUGGUGGAAGGUAAAAUAAUUAAGUUUAAAUAUUAACAGUUUACCCUAACCCAGAGAUGAGAUCUUGUUUGAACGCAUGUAUAUCUUUAAGGUAUGAAACCACUGCAGAAACUCUUGAGUUCAUCUUUGCUCAGGGACGAGCAAAGGUUAAGCUUGGGGGAGCUUGUUGACGGUUCUUAAUGCUCACAUUUAACCAUAAACUAAUCAUGGAAAAGGAUCCAAAUGCAACCAACACCCAGACUUAGGGUUUUAUCUCUCAGAAUUUCACGAGUUUUGGUGUUUGUUUAUUUCUGCAGGGGGUUAUCAUGAAAUACGGAAGAAAGGCCCACACGUCGGGUUUACAUAGAGAUAUUAACGUGCCGCGCAAUUUUCUAUCGUCUAGAAGACUCCAGAAGCCACGGGACCGAAGCGAAGGCCGAGAGGGCUCAGGGACAGGGCGCCCGCCCACUUCUAGAGUCUAAUCAGGACAUGUUUCGCGGAUUAUGCUCCAUCGACCUAAAGGAUCAAGGAAAACCGUGCGAUUAAUGUCAGUUUGAUCCGACGGUCCAGAUUCAUCUGAAAAGACUAUAUAAGCAAGGCCCCCUGGCCCUUGGAGAUCAUACCUCUUCUACAUAAUCAAAGCUAGGGUUUCAAUUCUUCAUCCAAGUAGAGAGGAUCCCUCUAGUUCUUCUAGUUCUACCUCUAGUUAAAUAGUUUGCUUAGUUAAUCAUGUUCAUACUAUCCUAAAAAGAAAAUAAAAAUGUUAAAACCAGCAUAAAACUCAUAAGUACAUUCACUGUGGUGGCAUAAAAAUAAAAUAAAUAUAAUCCUAUCCUAUAAAAAUGAGAAUAUAAAAAUAAAUUUAUGAUCCUACCAAAGAGAGUAAUAUUUAUUAGAGGAAGCUCAACAUGAUAAAGGCUAGAUAUUUAUGGUAACACCUAAUCAGUUCCACAAAGCAUUGUUGUCUAUUUGAGCUCCACAAAAAUCAAAAAGACUAGCAGACGGAGGACAUUCUAAUCGCUGUCAGGGUGUUGCUGACUUUCAAAUACACCUCUACCACCUGCUAGCUACAUCAGAAGAAAUUACGUCAAAAUUCAGCUUGAGGGAGAGCACCCCCAUUUAUCUCGCUAAGUAUUUCUAUCUACAUUUAUACUUAUACUAUAUUAAAAUAAAAAUAUACAUAACCAUGAAAAACCAAAUAAAGAUUUUGUGCUUAUAUAUAUAUAUAUCUUUUGCUUAGUUUGUUUAAUAAAUAAAUAAAGUGGCUAUGCUAAACUGAAUCUUAAUAAUAAACUCUAGCAUGGAUGUGAUAAAUAGUUGCUCUGCCUAAUUUUCAAAUUUGAAGUUUUCUCUCUAGUUUAGACAUAACUGUUAUAAUUUAAAGCUUACUCUAAACCUGAACUUGUAGGAAGAGAACUUGAUGUGAAGUCUAAGUUGUUAACGGAUAUGAUAUGGGAAGGUUGAGCUGCUGUUUAUCUGUUCCUAGAGAUGCUAGAAAUCUGGAGAAUUUUAUCUUUGAAAAUCUUUAAAAUAACACAUGAUGAGUUUCUGUAUGAUGAGAGUUUAAGUUCCUACCACAGCCAUAUAUACAUGCUUGCUAGACUUUGAGCCACACAUUUACUUUUUACUGCUUAUGAGCAUUGAGUGUGGUGAAGCUGUGUAGACCCUUAGGAGCUUGUCAUAUGGUUAAAAUCAAGAUUCACUUGCACGUUCACUUACACAUGCUGCUUCUACUCCGGAAGUACGCAUCCACAUAUAUCCACCCAUUUCCAUCUCCAGAACCACCCAAAAGUAUUCUACUCCUAAUCCGGUAGACAAUAGCCAAAAACAUUUUUGUUCACCCCUGUAAAAUAAAUACUCAAGUUAUCUUGGUUACUGCCACUUGCUAUAUUAUUUCAGAAGAUGAGAGCUCUAAAAAAAGAGAGAAAAGAGAAAAGAUACAAGGAAAUAAAAAGGGGCAAGUGCCCGGAACUUCGAAAGAAAAGAAAAAGUGAGACGAGAGGUAAAAAUGGACAAGUGUCCGAUAGUAGAAUUAGGGGUACAAGAUACCCACCUGAGAGGAAAUAAAAAGAAAAAUAUAGAGCAUCUCAUUCUCUUCAAAAAGUUUUAGAAGAGAAAGAAAGGUAGGUAUCCCCUCAAAGAGCAAAAGUAGAAUUAGACUUUCACCAUUGUUAUCACCAUC
This 4474-nucleotide long non-coding RNA is filed under the name Sorghum bicolor (sorghum). RNAcentral describes it as "long non-coding RNA (SBIC_LNC002742)". Lineage: Eukaryota; Viridiplantae; Streptophyta; Magnoliopsida; Poales; Poaceae. The record is from RNAcentral.